This 76-nucleotide transfer RNA is filed under the name Patescibacteria group bacterium. Its description in RNAcentral is "tRNA-Ile". It matches the Rfam family "tRNA". Rfam says of the family: Transfer RNA (tRNA) molecules are approximately 80 nucleotides in length. Their secondary structure includes four short double-helical elements and three loops (D, anti-codon, and T loops). The record is from RNAcentral.
GGGCCCAUAGCUCAGUUGGUAGAGCAACGGACUCAUAAUCCGUGCGUCCCAGGUUCGAGUCCUGGUGGGCCCACCA